UACGGAGGAUGCAAGCGUUAUCCGGAUUUAUUGGGUUUAAAGGGUGCGCAGGCGGACUAAUAAGUCAGUGGUGAAAUUUACAUGCUUAACAUGUAUCGUGCCAUUGAUACUGUUAGACUAGUAUACAAAUGACGUAGCUGGAAUGUGUUAUGUAGCGGUGAAAUGCAUAGAUAUAACACAGAACACCGAUCGUGAAGACAGGUUACGAAUUUGUUAUAGACGCUCAGGCACGAAAGCGUGGGGAUCAAACAGGAUUAGAAACCCUCGUAGUCC
This 273-nucleotide ribosomal RNA is filed under the name uncultured prokaryote. RNAcentral's name for it is "partial 16S ribosomal RNA". It matches the Rfam family "Bacterial small subunit ribosomal RNA", at positions 524 to 796 of the family's 1533-position model. The record is from RNAcentral.